RNAcentral lists this signal recognition particle RNA (280 nucleotides) under Homo sapiens (human). RNAcentral's name for it is "Metazoan signal recognition particle RNA". It matches the Rfam family "Metazoan signal recognition particle RNA". Rfam says of the family: The signal recognition particle (SRP) is a universally conserved ribonucleoprotein. It is involved in the co-translational targeting of proteins to membranes. The eukaryotic SRP consists of a 300-nucleotide 7S RNA and six proteins: SRPs 72, 68, 54, 19, 14, and 9. The record is from Rfam by way of RNAcentral. Lineage: Eukaryota; Metazoa; Chordata; Mammalia; Primates; Hominidae.
GCCAGGCGUGGUGGCGGGCUCCCGUAGUCCCAGCCACUCAGGAGGCUGAGGCGGGAGAAUGGCGUGAACCCGGGAGGCGGAGGUUGCAGUGAGCCGAGAUCGCGCCACAGCACUCCAGCCUGGGCGAAGAGCGAGACUCCGUCUCAAAAAAAAAAAAUUAAUACUUUUUUUUUUUUUUUGAGACGGACUCUCACUCUGUCACCCAGGUUGGAGUGCAAUGGUGUGAUCUCGGCUCACUGCAACCUCCCCCUCCCGGGUUCGAGCGAUUCUCCCGCCUCAG